UUAAGCGACUAAGCGUACACGGUGGAUGCCCUGGCAGUCAGAGGCGAUGAAGGGCGUGCUAAUCUGCGAUAAGCGCCGGUAAGGUGAUAUGAACCGUUAUAACCGGCGAUACCCGAAUGGGGAAACCCAGUGUGAUUCGUCACACUAUCAUUAACUGAAUCCAUAGGUUAAUGAGGCGAACCGGGGGAACUGAAACAUCUAAGUACCCCGAGGAAAAGAAAUCAACCGAGAUUCCCCCAGUAGCGGCGAGCGAACGGGGAGGAGCCCAGAGCCUGAAUCAGCAUGUGUGUUAGUGGAAGCGUCUGGAAAGGCGCGCGAUACAGGGUGACAGCCCCGUACACAAAAGCGCAUGUGCUGUGAGCUCGAUGAGUAGGGCGGGACACGUGGUAUCCUGUCUGAAUAUGGGGGGACCAUCCUCCAAGGCUAAAUACUCCUGACUGACCGAUAGUGAACCAGUACCGUGAGGGAAAGGCGAAAAGAACCCCGGCGAGGGGAGUGAAAAAGAACCUGAAACCGUGUACGUACAAGCAGUGGGAGCACCCUUCGGGGUGUGACUGCGUACCUUUUGUAUAAUGGGUCAGCGACUUAUAUUCUGUAGCAAGGUUAACCGUAUAGGGGAGCCGGAGGGAAACCGAGUCUUAACCGGGCGUUAAGUUGCAGGGUAUAGACCCGAAACCCGGUGAUCUAGCCAUGGGCAGGUUGAAGGUUGGGUAACACUAACUGGAGGACCGAACCGACUAAUGUUGAAAAAUUAGCGGAUGACCUGUGGCUGGGGGUGAAAGGCCAAUCAAACCGGGAGAUAGCUGGUUCUCCCCGAAAGCUAUUUAGGUAGCGCCUCGUGAAUUCAUCUCCGGGGGUAGAGCACUGUUUCGGCUAGGGGGCCAUCCCGGCUUACCAACCCGAUGCAAACUGCGAAUACCGGAGAAUGUUAUCACGGGAGACACACGGCGGGUGCUAACGUCCGUCGUGAAGAGGGAAACAACCCAGACCGCCAGCUAAGGUCCCAAAGUCAUGGUUAAGUGGGAAACGAUGUGGGAAGGCCCAGACAGCCAGGAUGUUGGCUUAGAAGCAGCCAUCAUUUAAAGAAAGCGUAAUAGCUCACUGGUCGAGUCGGCCUGCGCGGAAGAUGUAACGGGGCUAAACCAUGCACCGAAGCUGCGGCAGCGAACGUAUCACCCAAGACAACUUUACGGAGUUGACGAUUGACGGAGCGAAGCGACGUCAAAGCGUUCAUUAAAGUCGAGUUGGCUUAGGGAUACGUUCGUUGGGUAGGGGAGCGUUCUGUAAGCCUGUGAAGGUGUGUCGUGAGGCAUGCUGGAGGUAUCAGAAGUGCGAAUGCUGACAUAAGUAACGAUAAAGCGGGUGAAAAGCCCGCUCGCCGGAAGACCAAGGGUUCCUGUCCAACGUUAAUCGGGGCAGGGUGAGUCGACCCCUAAGGCGAGGCCGAAAGGCGUAGUCGAUGGGAAACGGGUUAAUAUUCCCGUACUUGGUGUUACUGCGAAGGGGGGACGGAGAAGGCUAUGUUGGCCGGGCGACGGUUGUCCCGGUUUAAGCGUGUAGGUGUGUGUUCCAGGUAAAUCCGGUUCACUUUAACACUGAGGCGUGACGACGAGGCACUACGGUGCUGAAGCAACAAAUGCCCUGCUUCCAGGAAAAGCCUCUAAGCAUCAGGUAACACGAAAUCGUACCCCAAACCGACACAGGUGGUCAGGUAGAGAAUACCAAGGCGCUUGAGAGAACUCGGGUGAAGGAACUAGGCAAAAUGGUGCCGUAACUUCGGGAGAAGGCACGCUGACACGUAGGUGAAGUGAUUUACUCAUGGAGCUGAAGUCAGUCGAAGAUACCAGCUGGCUGCAACUGUUUAUUAAAAACACAGCACUGUGCAAACACGAAAGUGGACGUAUACGGUGUGACGCCUGCCCGGUGCCGGAAGGUUAAUUGAUGGGGUCAGCGUAAGCGAAGCUCCUGAUCGAAGCCCCGGUAAACGGCGGCCGUAACUAUAACGGUCCUAAGGUAGCGAAAUUCCUUGUCGGGUAAGUUCCGACCUGCACGAAUGGCGUAAUGAUGGCCAGGCUGUCUCCACCCGAGACUCAGUGAAAUUGAACUCGCUGUGAAGAUGCAGUGUACCCGCGGCAAGACGGAAAGACCCCGUGAACCUUUACUAUAGCUUGACACUGAACAUUGAGCCUUGAUGUGUAGGAUAGGUGGGAGGCUUUGAAGUGUGGACGCCAGUCUGCAUGGAGCCGACCUUGAAAUACCACCCUUUAAUGUUUGAUGUUCUAACGUGGACCCGUAAUCCGGGUUGCGGACAGUGUCUGGUGGGUAGUUUGACUGGGGCGGUCUCCUCCUAAAGAGUAACGGAGGAGCACGAAGGUUGGCUAAUCCUGGUCGGACAUCAGGAGGUUAGUGCAAUGGCAUAAGCCAGCUUGACUGCGAGCGUGACGGCGCGAGCAGGUGCGAAAGCAGGUCAUAGUGAUCCGGUGGUUCUGAAUGGAAGGGCCAUCGCUCAACGGAUAAAAGGUACUCCGGGGAUAACAGGCUGAUACCGCCCAAGAGUUCAUAUCGACGGCGGUGUUUGGCACCUCGAUGUCGGCUCAUCACAUCCUGGGGCUGAAGUAGGUCCCAAGGGUAUGGCUGUUCGCCAUUUAAAGUGGUACGCGAGCUGGGUUUAGAACGUCGUGAGACAGUUCGGUCCCUAUCUGCCGUGGGCGCUGGAGAACUGAGGGGGGCUGCUCCUAGUACGAGAGGACCGGAGUGGACGCAUCACUGGUGUUCGGGUUGUCAUGCCAAUGGCACUGCCCGGUAGCUAAAUGCGGAAGAGAUAAGUGCUGAAAGCAUCUAAGCACGAAACUUGCCCCGAGAUGAGUUCUCCCUGAGACUUAGAGUCUCCUGAAGGAACGUUGAAGACGACGACGUUGAUAGGCCGGGUGUGUAAGCGCAGCGAUGCGUUGAGCUAACCGGUACUAAUGAACCGUGAGGCUUAACCU
Molecule: ribosomal RNA, 2987 nt
Filed under: Salmonella enterica subsp. enterica serovar Typhimurium
Lineage: Bacteria; Pseudomonadati; Pseudomonadota; Gammaproteobacteria; Enterobacterales; Enterobacteriaceae
Description: bacterial LSU rRNA
Rfam family: Bacterial large subunit ribosomal RNA
Source: RNAcentral